RNAcentral lists this ribosomal RNA (492 nucleotides) under uncultured bacterium. RNAcentral's name for it is "partial 16S ribosomal RNA". It matches the Rfam family "Bacterial small subunit ribosomal RNA", at positions 29 to 507 of the family's 1533-position model. The record is from RNAcentral.
AGUGAACGCUGGCGGUAGGCCUAACACAUGCGAGUCGAACGGCAGCACAGUAAGAGCUUGCUCUUACGGGUGGCGAGUGGCGGACGGGUGAGGAAUACAUCGGAAUCUACUUUUUCGUGGGGGAUAACGUAGGGAAACUUACGCUAAUACCGCAUACGACCUACGGGUGAAAGCAGGGGAUCUUCGGACCUUGCGCGAUUGAAUGAGCCGAUGUCGGAUUAGCUAGUUGGCGGGGUAAAGGCCCACCAAGGCGACGAUCCGUAGCUGGACUGAGAGGAUGAUCAGCCACACUGGAGCUGAGACACGGUCCAGACUCCUACGGGAGGCAGCAGUGGGGAAUAUUGGACAAUGGGGGCAAGCCUGAUCCAACCAUACCGCGUGGGUGAAGAAGGCCUUCGGGUUGUAAAGCCCUUUUGUUGGGAGAGAAAAGCAGCAGGUUAAUACCCCGCUGUUCUGACGGUACCCAAAGAAUAAGCACCGGCUAACUUCGUG